GAUGAACGCUGGCGGCGUGCCUAAUACAUGCGAGUCGAGCGAACAGACGAGGAGCUUGCUCCUCUGACGUUAGCGGCGGACGGGUGAGUAACACGUGGAUAACCUACCUAUAAGACUGGGAUAACUUCGGGAAACCGGAGCUAAUACCGGAUAAUAUAUUGAACCGCAUGGUUCAAUAGUGAAAGACGGUUUUGCUGUCACUUAUAGAUGGAUCCGCGCCGCAUUAGCUAGUUGGUAAGGUAACGGCUUACCAAGGCAACGAUGCGUAGCCGACCUGAGAGGGUGAUCGGCCACCCUGGAACUGAGACACGGUCCAGACCCCUACGGGAGGCAGCAGUAGGGAAUCUUCCGCAAUGGGCGAAAGCCUGACGGAGCAACGCCGCGUGAGUGAUGAAGGUCUUCGGAUCGUAAAACUCUGUUAUUAGGGAAGAACAAAUGUGUAAGUAACUAUGCACGUCUUGACGGUACCUAAUCAGAAAGCCACGGCUAACUACGUG
RNAcentral lists this ribosomal RNA (497 nucleotides) under uncultured bacterium. RNAcentral's name for it is "partial 16S ribosomal RNA". It matches the Rfam family "Bacterial small subunit ribosomal RNA", at positions 28 to 507 of the family's 1533-position model. The record is from RNAcentral.